Non-coding RNA from Tuber magnatum (white Piedmont truffle), 74 nucleotides. Lineage: Eukaryota; Fungi; Ascomycota; Pezizomycetes; Pezizales; Tuberaceae. The record is from the annotation of a GenBank genome assembly.
GGUUUCGCGGUGUAGUUGGUUAUUACGUCAGUCUAAUACACUGGUGGUCUCCGGUUCGAGCCCGGCCGAACUCA